CCUACGGGAGGCAGCAGUAGGGAAUAUUGCACAAUGGGGGAAACCCUGAAGCAGCAACGCCGCGUGGAGGAUGAAGGUUUUCGGAUUGUAAACUCCUUUUGUUAGAGAAGAUAAUGACGGUAUCUAACGAAUAAGCACCGGCUAACUCCGUGCCAGCAGCCGCGGUAAUACGGAGGGUGCAAGCGUUACUCGGAAUCACUGGGCGUAAAGGGCGCGUAGGCGGGAUAGCAAGUCAGAUGUGAAAUCCUAUGGCUUAACCAUAGAACUGCAUUUGAAACUGUUAUUCUAGAGUAUGGGAGAGGUAAGUGGAAUUCUUGGUGUAGGGGUGAAAUCCGUAGAGAUCAAGAGGAAUACUCAUGGCGAAGGCGACCUGCUAGAACAUAACUGACGCUGAUGCGCGAAAGCGUGGGGAGCAAACAGGAUUAGAUACCCGAGUAGUC
RNAcentral lists this ribosomal RNA (440 nucleotides) under uncultured bacterium. RNAcentral describes it as "partial 16S ribosomal RNA". It matches the Rfam family "Bacterial small subunit ribosomal RNA", at positions 338 to 795 of the family's 1533-position model. The record is from RNAcentral.